RNAcentral lists this ribosomal RNA (253 nucleotides) under uncultured bacterium. RNAcentral's name for it is "partial 16S ribosomal RNA". It matches the Rfam family "Bacterial small subunit ribosomal RNA", at positions 524 to 776 of the family's 1533-position model. The record is from RNAcentral.
GACAGAGGAUGCGACCGUUGCUCGGAUUGACUGGGCGUAAAGGGCGCGUAGGCGGUUCGUACAGUCAGACGUGAAAUUCCUGGGCUCAACCUGGGGGCUGCGUUUGAUACGUGCGGACUUGAGUGCGGAAGAGGGUCGUGGAAUUCCCAGUGUAGAGGUGAAAUUCGUAGAUAUUGGGAAGAACACCGGUGGCGAAGGCGGCGACCUGGUCCGAUACUGACGCUGAGGCGCGAAAGCGUGGGGAGCAAACAGG